UAACAUCUGUCCUACUCUUGCCCUA
Molecule: non-coding RNA, 25 nt
Filed under: Mus musculus (house mouse)
Lineage: Eukaryota; Metazoa; Chordata; Mammalia; Rodentia; Muridae
Source: RNAcentral